GUUCUGUCUUAUACAUUAUGGUAUUUUCCCUGUUUUUAUCCACAUCAUAGAUGUUUAAUAAGUGAUCUUGUAGUUUUCAGACAUCAAAACAGUUGGUCUAUAUUCCUAUUGACUGUUUAUUAUGCCUUGAAACUUCUUUAAGCGUAGUAAGGUAAUCUUCUGCUGUAACUACUAAUAGGAGGCGUACUUCUAUCAGCAACAUAUUCAUUUUAGAAACAGUGUUGUAUAGACAAUCCCAAUAUCAGUAGCGUUGAUAGCAAAACAGAUAUAUAUAGCCAUGACUGGGUCAAGAUCGGUUGGUAGCAAUGCUUGUGAUAAACUGUCUUUUCCAUUAUGAUUAGUGAGGCUACUUUUUAUAAAAAAAAACACCCUGUAACUAUGAUUAAAUAUUUUCCUCUCUUAUUUAUCUUGAUCUCUAUAUCAUUUUUAUUCUCAAUUGUCAAUCUUAACUUCUAGGUUGCCUUGGCCGUAUUUGGCACAACUUUUUGGAAUUUCGGAUCCUCAAUGUUCAUCAACUUUGUGCUUGUUUGGCUUUAUGAAUGUUUUCGUAUGAGAUUCACUGAUGAGUCUUAUGUAGACGAAACGAGCGUCUGGCGUACUAAAUUAUAAUCCUGAUACCUUUGAUGACUCUAAGUUGUCCAUUGCUGAUAAAGCUUCUUCUACCUACAAAGAAAUUUUAUCUUUAAAUUUGAUGUUAUAUGUGCAUAUAUUUUACAAUUAACGACUAUAAAGACACUAGUUAUCUUUACAUAUGAAUAUCUAGACCUUUAUC
This 772-nucleotide long non-coding RNA is filed under the name Mytilus galloprovincialis (Mediterranean mussel). Lineage: Eukaryota; Metazoa; Mollusca; Bivalvia; Mytilida; Mytilidae. The record is from RNAcentral.